RNAcentral lists this long non-coding RNA (202 nucleotides) under Glycine max (soybean). RNAcentral's name for it is "long non-coding RNA (GMAX_LNC001508)". The record is from RNAcentral. Lineage: Eukaryota; Viridiplantae; Streptophyta; Magnoliopsida; Fabales; Fabaceae.
UCCACCAUUCCAUGAUUACAGGACAUGUCGUCUGACCUUCAUGUAUGGACUCACCCACUAGGAGGACUUUCGAUUCAAGUGAUUCCCAUGUCCAUAGAUCCAUCGUCGUUAUCUUACUCAUCUAAACCAAUCAUCGAGUAGAACCAUCAACUCUGAUAUCAAUUAUUGUGCAAUUUAGGGGGACAAAUUAUCGAGGGAUUUA